Long non-coding RNA from Oreochromis niloticus (Nile tilapia), 835 nucleotides. RefSeq lists it as uncharacterized. The transcript is spliced from 4 exons. The record is from RefSeq and is a predicted model, not a curated record. Lineage: Eukaryota; Metazoa; Chordata; Actinopteri; Cichliformes; Cichlidae.
GGGUUUUUGUUGGUUCAUUCCUCCCGAGCUUCUGGCACAACACAGCAGUAAAUGUUGGCCUAUUGUUACGGAUUAAUUUACCGAAACGAUCGGAUUGUGUGACAGUUACAGCCAUAGUGGAGAGAAGCGUUUGACUUACGUCCACUGUGCAGUAUAGCGCAUCCGGUCUUGGGGGUUCGAUUGCUGCCGCACCCUCUCAGUGAUCAAUCGCCUGAUUUUAAGUGAAGAGUUGAAACGCCUGCCUAGCUGCUGUUUCAGGGCUCCUCUGCAGUGGAGCUGCUGUCUUGUUUUGCUCCUGCUGUUUUGCCUCGCCUCGCCUCGUUGGGGCUUUGGGGUUUUACUUUGAGCUCCUUCUGGACUAUUCUUUGCACUCCAGCUCAGUGGCGUGUCCAGCAGGGUGGCCUGCCCCCCAACAAGACUGGCCACCCCAGGUACCACCCCGAAGCUAUAACAUUAAAAUUCAAUCAAAUAUCAAAUGUACGAUUAUGUUUUCACAGUGAAGGUCAGAUAUCCGAGUGUAAGUGAAUGCAGCAUUGGCUUCUGCACUAUGAGCAUCACGUUAGCAAAGGAAGGAGAGCCAAGCACGAAAGAUGGUACCGCAGAAAACAAUUUUGGGCGAAAGAUAAGGAGGAGAGAAUAAAUGUCCUGUUUCAGAUGUUGCCAUAUUUCAACACCGCUGAUUUAAAGAAAAAUUUCCAGACUUGUGGACAACUAGGUGUUUGGGGAUUAUUUGAUUUGGAUUGGCUAUGUUGGUAUAGUGUAACAUCUAAAACAUCUUCCCAAAUCAAAAACCCUGGAUUAACGGAGAUGUUCGCACGGCGCUGGCGGCACGGAG